UUCCGGUUGAUCCUGCCGGAGGUCACUGCUAUUGGGAUUCGACUAAGCCAUGCGAGUCGAGAGGGUUCGGCCCUCGGCAGACGGCUCAGUAACACGUGGAUAAUCUGCCCUUAGGUGGAGGAUAACCUCGGGAAACUGAGAAUAAUACUCCAUAGAUCUAGGAUGCUGGAAUGCACUUAGAUUGAAAGUUCCGGCGCCUAAGGAUGAGUCUGCGGACUAUCAGGUAGUAGUCAGGGUAAAGGCCUGACUAGCCUACGACGGAUACGGGUUGUGAGAGCAAUAACCCGGAGACGAUAUCUGAGACACGAUAUCGGGCCCUACGGGGCGCAGCAGGCGCGAAACCUUCACAAUGUGCGAAAGCACGAUGAGGGAAUCCCAAGUGCUUGCUCGUAAGAGUAAGCUGUUUUUAUGUCUAAAAAGCAUAGAGAGUAAGGGCUGGGUAAGACGGGUGCCAGCCGCCGCGGUAAUACCUGCAGCUCAAGUGGUGACCGCUAUUAUUGGGCCUAAAACGUUCGUAGCCGGUUUGGUAAAUGCCUGGGUAAAUCGUGUAGCUUAACUAUACGAAUUCCGGGUAGACUGCCAAACUUGAGACCGGGAGAAGCUAGAGGUACUCCUGGGGUAGAGGUGAAAUUCUGUAAUCCUGGGGGGACCACCAGUGGCGAAGGCGUCUAGCUAGAACGGGUUUGACGGUGAGGAACGAAGCCCUGGGGCGCAAACCGGAUUAGAUACCCGGGUAGUCCAGGGUGUAAACGCUGCUUGCUUGAUGUUAGUUGGGCUCCGAGCCCAAUUAGUGUCGGAGAGAAGUUGUUAAGCAAGCUGCCUGGGAAGUACGAUCGCAAGAUUGAAACUUAAAGGAAUUGGCGGGGGAGCACAG
Molecule: ribosomal RNA, 874 nt
Filed under: uncultured archaeon
Lineage: Archaea
Description: bacterial SSU rRNA
Rfam family: Archaeal small subunit ribosomal RNA
Source: RNAcentral